RNAcentral lists this ribosomal RNA (439 nucleotides) under uncultured Povalibacter sp. Its description in RNAcentral is "bacterial SSU rRNA". It matches the Rfam family "Bacterial small subunit ribosomal RNA", at positions 338 to 777 of the family's 1533-position model. Lineage: Bacteria; Pseudomonadati; Pseudomonadota; Gammaproteobacteria; Steroidobacterales; Steroidobacteraceae. The record is from RNAcentral.
CCUACGGGUGGCAGCAGUGGGGAAUAUUGCACAAUGGGCGCAAGCCUGAUGCAGCAACGCCGCGUGCGGGAUGACGGCCUUCGGGUUGUAAACCGCUUUUAGUAAGGAAGAAGGGGGGCCUUCGGGUUUCUUGACGGUACUUGCAGAAAAAGGACCGGCUAACUACGUGCCAGCAGCCGCGGUAAUACGUAGGGUCCGAGCGUUGUCCGGAAUUAUUGGGCGUAAAGAGCUCGUAGGCGGUUUGUCGCGUCUGCUGUGAAAUCCCGAGGCUCAACCUCGGGCCUGCAGUGGGUACGGGCAGACUUGAGUGGUGUAGGGGAGACUGGAAUUCCUGGUGUAGCGGUGGAAUGCGCAGAUAUCAGGAGGAACACCGAUGGCGAAGGCAGGUCUCUGGGCACUUACUGACGCUGAGGAGCGAAAGCGUGGGGAGCGAACAGGA